Molecule: long non-coding RNA, 906 nt
Filed under: Sus scrofa (pig)
Lineage: Eukaryota; Metazoa; Chordata; Mammalia; Artiodactyla; Suidae
Description: lncRNA (ENSSSCG00035057754.1)
Source: RNAcentral
GGAAUAUUACAAUGGUGUUUUCUGCUGAAAAACUACAUUUUAAGAGCCAUGCUUAAUAUUUAGUGUGCUUCCAUUCUUGAAGAAGAGAGCUGAAUUUUAAAAAUAGAUGUAUUAAAUAUGCUUUCAUAUAAAUUUAUAUUACACCAUUAUUGGAAGCAUUGAGCCAUGGCAAACAAUCUAUUACAUCAUGAUUUACUAUGCUGUAUUGUAUCAACUGAUGGAUUAUAGCAUGUCAUGUUUUGAUAUGUAAAAUCUUUAAGAUAAUUAAAGAAGCAAACCACAAAAAUAGUGCAUGUGCCAUUUUAACUAAAAAUCUUUUUUUUCCAUUCUCCAAAGUAAUUUUAGACAUUUUAGAGGGUUCUAUAUUUUGGCAUAGCUGGGUAUCCAGGUAUUAGCUCUAUGAGGAAAUAUAUAAUAUACAUGAGGAAAGCUAUUAAAAUAGGACAUACGAAAAAUAGCCGAUGAUAACUUUUGAAGGAUAUAAAAAUUGACAUUUUAUAAAUAUUCAUAUUAUCUGUUUUCUUCUCUGAUUUUGAGUAUUGUGUCAACCAUGCUCUUAUAAAUAUGACCCCUGUUUUUUAAAGAAUCAAUAUAUUUGCCUUCUUUCCUACUAGGUGUUACUAUCAGCAUAAAGUUGCUACCAAGGAAAUAAUGCAAAUAAUUCUUUGUGGCCAGUUGCCAAAGAAGAUACAUUUCACAGAAAAAUUAUCUGCAUUUUUAAUCUGAACAAUGGCAUGGCUAAUAAGAUGCUAACUACUGAUUUAAAUCAGGUGAGAAAAAUACACGAAGGAAAGGCCUCACAAGACCUCAGCGUAGCAAGUAAGACCUGAAUCUUGGACUUCCAGCUCCUAAAACCGGAAUACUCAUCUCCCUUAUGGAUGUGAAAAGUAUGCAGUGAUAAACCAA